GCAUGCUCGAGCGGCAGCACGGGUGCUUGCACCUGGUGGCGAGUGGCGAACGGGUGAGUAAUGCACCGGAACGUACCCAGUAAUGGGGGAUAACUAUCCGAAAGGAUAGCUAAUACCGCAUACGCCCUGAGGGGGAAAGCGGGGGAUUCGUAAGAAUCUCGCGUUAUUGGAGCGGCCGAUGCCGGAUUAGCUAGUUGGUGGGGUAAAGGCCCACCAAGGCGACGAUCCGUAGCUGGUCUGAGAGGACGACCAGCCACACUGGAACUGAGACACGGUCCAGACUCCUACGGGAGGCAGCAGUGGGGAAUUUUGGACAAUGGGCGAAAGCCUGAUCCAGCCAUUCCGCGUGAGUGAAGAAGGCCUUCGGGUUGUAAA
Molecule: ribosomal RNA, 375 nt
Filed under: uncultured bacterium
Lineage: Bacteria
Description: bacterial SSU rRNA
Rfam family: Bacterial small subunit ribosomal RNA
Source: RNAcentral